RNAcentral lists this ribosomal RNA (253 nucleotides) under uncultured bacterium. RNAcentral's name for it is "partial 16S ribosomal RNA". It matches the Rfam family "Bacterial small subunit ribosomal RNA", at positions 524 to 776 of the family's 1533-position model. The record is from RNAcentral.
UACAGAGGUCCCAAGCGUUGUUCGGAUUCAUUGGGCGUAAAGGGUGCGUAGGCGGCGCGGUAAGUCGGGUGUGAAAUCUCGGAGCUUAACUCCGAAACUGCAUUCGAUACUGCCGUGCUUGAGGACUGGAGAGGAGACUGGAAUUUACGGUGUAGCGGUGAAAUGCGUAGAUAUCGUAAGGAAGACCAGUGGCGAAGGCGGGUCUCUGGACAGUUCCUGACGCUGAGGAGCGAAAGCGUGGGUAGCAAACAGG